AACGAACGCUGGCGGCAUGCCUAACACAUGCAAGUCGAACGAGACCUUCGGGUCUAGUGGCGCACGGGUGCGUAACGCGUGGGAACCUGCCCUUAGGUUCGGAAUAACUCCCCGAAAGGGGUGCUAAUACCGGAUAAUGUCUUCGGACCAAAGAUUUAUCGCCUUUGGAUGGGCCCGCGUUGGAUUAGCUGGUUGGUAGGGUAAAAGCCUACCAAGGCGACGAUCCAUAGCUGGUCGGAGAGGAUGAUCCGCCACACUGGGACUGCGACACGGCCCAGACUCCUACGCGAGGCAGCAGUAGGGAGUAUUGGGCAAUGGGCGAAAGCCUGAUCCAGCAGUGCCGCGUGAGUCAUGCAGGCCUUAGGGUUGUAAUGCUCUUUUACCCGGGAUGAUAAUGACAGUACCGGGUGAAUAAGCUCCGGCUAACUCCGUG
RNAcentral lists this ribosomal RNA (433 nucleotides) under uncultured bacterium. RNAcentral's name for it is "partial 16S ribosomal RNA". It matches the Rfam family "Bacterial small subunit ribosomal RNA", at positions 29 to 507 of the family's 1533-position model. The record is from RNAcentral.